ACAGCCCUUGGCUUUCGUGACUGACUGGGUGAUCGACAGCAUCAGAACGCUUUCUUGAAUGAUGACGAAACAACGUUGCUUCACCUGGACAUCAUCUCGGCUCUUGGCUCUCAGCUUAUUGACCUGGGACUCAGCGAUGUCAGCACGCUCCUGAGCUUCCUCCAGCUCAUGCUGCACCUUCCUGAACCUGGACAGCAUCUCGGCUCUUGGCUCUCAGCUUGUUGACCUGGGACUCAGCGAUGUCAGCACGCUCCUGAGCUUCCUCCAGCUCAUGCUGCACCUUCCUGAACCUGGACAGCAUCUCGGCUCUUGGCUCUCAGCUUGUUGACCUGGGACUCAGCGAUGUCAGCACGCUCCUGAGCUUCCUCCAGCUCAUGCUGCACCUUCCUGAACCUGGACAGCACUUCUCGUCUCUUGGACUGUAUCACCCACCUCACUUUGGAUCUUCGCCAGACCAGUCUUAAGCUUCUCCUUCGUGUUCUUCUGGAAGGGAAAACAAGGCUGUUUCCCAAAGCAAUGACAAAACACAAAAGCUGUAAUUGAAACAAUGUUACUACAAGUGCAGCAGCAUUUCUGCGCCUCAUCAGUCUGACUCCAUCUCAUUGAGAUCUCCCUCCAUUUUCUUCUUGACUUCUUUGUUUGUGGCUGCUGCUGACCUCAGAGUCCAGACGUAUCGCUCUCUGACUGUUUCUCUUAACCGGCUCCAUUUCUUCAUCCUUCUCAGCUAGUUUCCUUCAGGGAUGUGACUCUUGACUUUAGAGUAUAUCUGUUGAUACAGUUCAUAAACAACCUCUCUUUAUUCAUAUACGUACAAAAGUAUAGACAUGGCUUCAGGAUACAGCUACUGUAUUAGCUGUCCUAAUGUACUUUCCAGUUUUUAUACAUAACUGUCUAUCAUACAUUAUUGGAAACCAUAUAAGCAAUGGAUUGCAUAAUAACUAUAAUGAAGCAUAGUUUAUGGCAAGUAGUGCUACAGUGGUGGCCAUUGACUUGGAGAUAGAUAGAUAGAUUUAUUGAUCCCGAAGGAAAUUUAGCAGUAUAAACAUAAUAUAAACAUAAUAAACUUAUGUUUAUUGGCUACAUAUGCUUGUAUUGCAAAACAUGUCUUGGUUUGGCCAACUGCUUUGUUCACUGAACUGUGAACUAUGGCUUUAUUGACAGCUUGUCAGGUGUUUUAUUGAAUCAUUCGUUGUGGAAUUUUAAUAUAAUUUAUUUACAGGCAGCAGCAAGUAUCCAAACCCUUUGGCUCAGUAUAAAUCCAAUUAAAUUCUCCACCUGUUUACUGGUCAGGCCUGGACUAAUCUGACUAGCAUGUCUACAAUGCCCAGCUUGGCACUGGAGGAGCUGUCAAAUGCCGCUGGUAUUCAGUUGCAAGGCAGUUGCAAGCCAAAGCAUUUUUAUUAAUAACCUCUAUGGCGGUCAGAGUCAUUUUCAGUUUUUUAUGUGCUGGGAGUGAGAAGAGUUUUAAUACAUGACAUUGUCCUGCAAAAAUGUGCCAUUUUACCGCAGGACCUUAAAAUUCUCAGGUCAGCGGUGCAUCUUUUGUCUUUUACACUGUCACGAGUAUCACUGUUUGAGUGAAAAGUCCUGAACUUAGAUAUGCCGAGAUUCCUCUUACGUUGAGGUCAAGUGUGUUUGUAAAGUGACCAAAUUCUUAGCCUUGAACUUUUCCACUGGUGUGAAAGCUAAUUUUAGCCUCACAAUACUGAGUUGCUAUGUCUCAAGACCUGAAAAGCAGCACAUUGUAGUCUUUGUUUAGUCUGUAAGACGCACUCCAACACCUAACAACCCUAAACUGAAAGAUUUUUAAAGGAGCACUGAAGGUGAGGCUCAUCUCCAGUUCUGGUUUAAAAAAAGAAGCUGAAGUUCAAACAGCUACUAAAGACGGCCUCCGAUGACGUCUUGGGGCCUCAGUAUGGAUUAACCCAGGGGGAGCCUUCAGAUGCCUCUGGUGUACUGUUGCACAGCUCUUGCAAGUCAAGCAUUUUUAUUAAUAAACCAAAUCAAAGGAGCCAUAUUUCCUCGGCAUCUCCUGCUGACGUGGCAGAUGUUCGGUUUACAGCUCAGUGAGUUUGACCACACAGAGAUUUUGGAGCCAGUAGGUUGAUUUUAAGCCUUUUUCACAGCAGCCAUUAAAUAAAAAAACAGGCUUAAAUUUUAAUAUUUGUAUUUUUUAUCAGGAAAUUUGAAGUGUAGUUAAGUUUUGAAUUUAAAUGUUUUGUUUGAUUAUAUUUAUAAAAAUAUAAUUCAGGCCAGUGUCUAUUUCUACAGCAGAAUGGACGGUAGGGGACCUGAGGAAAGAAGUUAAAUAUUUUCUAUUAGAUGUCCAUAUUUUACUGACAGAUUAUUUUUAUACUUACUGUACUCUUUUUCUUCCCCCCCAAACAGGUAAUGUUCAUUUCAAGUACUUGAAAUGUUGUAAGUAGCCAUAAUAAUAAUAAUACCUUAUUAAUUCACUUUGUCACUUUAAUAAAUAUUAUCAUAUGUUCUUGUUCUACAUUCCUAAGAGUAACUCAUUUGAAUGUAUCUAUUUAUUGCCAUAUUACUGUACAUUAUUUUGUAAUGAUAAGAAAGAAAUGCCUUUAGUUAAGAUACUUUUGAAAUGAGAAAAGGGUUUUACUUGUCUUGGCCUCUAUAUGCUCUAAUAAAGGUGCCUUUACGUCUC
Molecule: long non-coding RNA, 2665 nt
Organism: Pygocentrus nattereri (red-bellied piranha)
Lineage: Eukaryota; Metazoa; Chordata; Actinopteri; Characiformes; Serrasalmidae
Exons: 5
Source: RefSeq, a predicted model, not a curated record